This 181-nucleotide non-coding RNA is filed under the name Pantoea sp. The record is from RNAcentral. Lineage: Bacteria; Pseudomonadati; Pseudomonadota; Gammaproteobacteria; Enterobacterales; Erwiniaceae.
CUGUAGACUGCCUGCGCCGGCCUCAGCCUGAGUUAAAAGGGAAUCCAGUGCGAAUCUGGAGCUGACGCGCAGCGGUAAGGAAUGUCGUGGCGAUCGCCUUGCAGACACUGUCCAGCCGGAUGGGAAGUCUUCGCCACCUAUGGUUCCCAGCCCGAAGACCUGCCGGUGUGACGUCGCAACU